AGCGAACGCUGGCGGCAGGCUUAACACAUGCAAGUCGAACGGGCAUAGCAAUAUGUCAGUGGCAGACGGGUGAGUAACGCGUGGGAACGUACCUUUUGGCUCGGAACAACACAGGGAAACUUGUGCUAAUACCGGAUAAGCCCUUACGGGGAAAGAUUUAUCGCCGAAAGAUCGGCCCGCGUCUGAUUAGCUAGUUGGUAGGGUAAUGGCCUACCAAGGCGACGAUCAGUAGCUGGUCUGAGAGGAUGAUCAGCCACAUUGGGACUGAGACACGGCCCAAACUCCUACGGGAGGCAGCAGUGGGGAAUAUUGGACAAUGGGCGAAAGCCUGAUCCAGCCAUGCCGCGUGAGUGAUGAAGGCCCUAGGGUUGUAAAGCUCUUUUGUGCGGGAAGAUAAUGACGGUACCGCAAGAAUAAGCCCCGGCUAACUUCGUG
RNAcentral lists this ribosomal RNA (435 nucleotides) under uncultured bacterium. RNAcentral's name for it is "partial 16S ribosomal RNA". It matches the Rfam family "Bacterial small subunit ribosomal RNA", at positions 29 to 507 of the family's 1533-position model. The record is from RNAcentral.